This 2123-nucleotide long non-coding RNA is filed under the name Macaca mulatta (Rhesus monkey). Its description in RNAcentral is "lncRNA (ENSMMUG00000058603.1)". The record is from RNAcentral. Lineage: Eukaryota; Metazoa; Chordata; Mammalia; Primates; Cercopithecidae.
GAGAGAAGGCAGGGCUGAAAUACGGCGUGGCCAUGGCGCAGGCUCCUUCCCAAAGCUUGGCACAGCAGGGUGGUUGAAUUUCCCAUGGGUCAAAAGAAUGCUGAGGAAGGUACUGGGCCUGGGCUGACUUGCUGCGCCCCCCUCUGCCGCCUGAAAAAAGCCACCCUCUGGAUGAGGGUCUCCAGCAACAAGGGUUUGUGAGUUUCUUUAGGUAUGAAGAUCAUUCAGCUAUUCAUUCACCAAGCACUUGUUGAUCAUAGCCAAGAACCACAUAUUGUGCUAAACUUGGGAGAAUCAAAGAGGAACAAUAUGAUAUUCCUGUCUUCGAAGACUUUGUGAUUUAGUUGGAGAGAUGUAUGUACAAGAAAAUCAUUUAUGGCCGGGUGCAGUGGCUCAAGCCUGUAAUCCCAGCACUUGGGAGGCUGAGAAGGGCAGAUCACGAGGUCAGGAGAUCGAGACCAUCCUGGCUAACACGGUUGAAAAAGUCCAAGAUUUGCAGUCUGCAAGUUAGAGACCCAGGAGAGCCAAUGUCCAGUUGCAGUCUGAGUCCAAAGGCCUGAGAACCAUAAGAGCUGAUGGUAUAAGUUCCAGUCCAAAAGCCAGCAGGCUUGAAACCCAAGAAGAGCUGAUGUUUCGGUACAAGACUGAAGGUGACUGAGGCCAAACCAGUAUGGGAGCUCCUUCGAAAAACCCAGCGAGGGCCAGGAAGGCCAGACAAGUGGACUUUCAUUGCAGGGUGCCUUCAGUGCUGCUGUCAGAGGAGCAUCCUUCUGUGAGCCUUGGUUUUCCUUCUGCAAACUGGCUAAGAGCUGCAGAGCACUCGACACCCAGAACCACAGUGUGCCUUCACAAUGAACAGAAAGCUGCAGUUUCCUCCUCUGUAUUCUUUGUCCACUCCCACUCGCUUCAUAUGCCCCACUGACCCAGGUAUGAGAAACCCGGCCUCCCAAAGUGUUGGGAUUAUAGGCAGGAGCCACUGUGCCUGAGCUCACUGUGGUUUUGAUUUGCAUUUCUCUAAUGUCAGUGAUGUUGAGUUGUUUUCAUAUGUUUGUUGGCUACAUGAAUGUCUUCUUUUGAGAAGUGUCUGUUCAUAUCCUUUGCUCACUUUUUAAUGGGGUGGUUUUCUUCUUGUAAAUUUGUUGGAGUUCCUUGUAGACUCUGGAUAUGAGACCUUUGUCAGAUCACUGAGAGUUUCUGAGCAAUGUGGUGGUGGGUUGUAUGUAGAUGAAUUUGAAGCGGAAGAGACCUGUGACAGAGAGACCAGAUUAGAGCUACUGCAGUGAUUAGGUGGUGGAGGCCUGUAAACAGGUGUAUGUGGCACUUUAUGUACAGGUACACUGUGGAUACAGAAUUGAUGGGACUUAGCAACUGCUUGGGUACAAAAGGGACAAGGACAAAAGAGAAGGAGUUGUUAAACAACAAUGCCUUGGGUUAACCUGGGGUGAGCAUGUGGAUGGUGUCAUUUGUAGAGCCAGAGAAAGAGUAGACGAGGAAGAGAAAAGGGGAACAGGAGUGGGAGGAGGAGGAGAAUAGAAUGGGAAAAUAUGAGAUCUGAGUGGCUGCAUUUUGGAGGAGCUGGUGGAGCUGCCCAGAGGCUGCUGAAAUCUGGAACUAGAGUUCAGAGGAGAGGUUAGGGUGAGGGACAGAGUAGAAUUGGAAAUAGUCCCUAAGUGUGUUGAAUAUAUCCAAUUUAGUUUCUUUCUAAAGGAAAAUCCUUAGUCCUUUUCUAGAAGGCAUUGUAAAAUCAGCCUCUGAAAUUCUGCCCUACUAAACUUGUUUUCUUCUAGGAAGUGACAAAAUUGCAGCCCCUGAAGAGCAGGAGAAUCCUGGACUCUAUGGCUUCCUCCUGCUGUUUGCAACUGCAUUUGAUUCCACUUUUGUGUGUUUUCCCUUUUUCGUGAUUAAUAUUUGCUGGAAAUAUAUUGAUUUUUCAGUCUUUUCAAGAAAACUGCUCUUGGGCGUAUGUCUCAAUUAUACUGCUUUUAUGUUUCCUCAUUUAAUUCUUUAUUGAAGCUUUUAUCUGUUUUUCUCUUUAUUUUUAUUUGCUACCCCUUCCCUUGAAUUUUAAAUUUAUUUGUUGAUCCAUUAAUUGUAUCUUUUGGUAAUAAAAACAUUUCAAGCUA